CCAGCAUCACUUCCUUCUAAGAUUGUCUUUGAUUGCUAGAAGAGAAACACAUAAUCAGUAUAUAUUGUCAUGCACUAACGAACUCAAACACAGGUGUUGAAGAAGGGCUUCUCGUGGCGUCAUCACAACUUACUACCAAGACAUCUUCCUCCAGAACUAUGCAAAUCGGCAUUGUUAUUGCCCUGACCACGGCUGUCAUGCUGAUGGAACUUCACAGCUGCACAGCGCAGUGUAAGCCAAACUAUUGGGCUGAUGGAUGUAGCCAUGUCGUCGACUUCAAGUUCACAGAUGACUGUAACAAACACGACAUAUGCUACGCUUGCGGCAACGGACUGGGUGUUUCACGCCAUAACUGCGAUGACCGUUGGUAUAACAACAUGAAGAACACAUGCGCCUCGGUGAAUUGGUUCUUGCGAGCCGGAUGUCGGUUUGUUGCUUGGACCUACUAUAGCUGGAUGCGGAACUGGGGAGAGAAGUCUUACAAAGCUCCGUCUUUGGGGUUUUGCAAUGAAAACUGGGUUCCCGCGUGUGUGUGAUGAUAACGAGUAUUGUGAAUUGUAUGAAGCAAACUCUUUUAUUUUCAUUACCAUACUGUCAAAUACUUCUAGUACUAAAUGUACCUGAUAACAAUCUUGAUAUGUCUUGUUUUCAUGAAUUACCCAAUAAAAUAUUACUUAACACUUCCGUGUUUGAUAGCAAACGUGCUAUGCUUUGUAAUCAUUUAAGAGUACGCCUAGUAUUACUCAAUUUAUUUGCUAGCAUAUCAUUGAUUCUUCAGUUGCUUCCUAGUUGUUUCUGUUGUAUUUUUUUGGAUGCUAAGUACUACUUUCCCAUAUUUUUGCUAUGAUUAUGAGAAUGUCUUUAUAUAAACGAUCUUAAUAAACAUAUAAUCACCA
Long non-coding RNA from Dreissena polymorpha, 896 nucleotides. RefSeq lists it as uncharacterized. The transcript is spliced from 3 exons. NCBI's taxonomy places the organism in Eukaryota, Metazoa, Mollusca, Bivalvia, Myida, Dreissenidae. The record is from RefSeq and is a predicted model, not a curated record.